Molecule: small nuclear RNA, 22 nt
Filed under: Arabidopsis thaliana (thale cress)
Lineage: Eukaryota; Viridiplantae; Streptophyta; Magnoliopsida; Brassicales; Brassicaceae
Description: snRNA_03475
Source: RNAcentral
CGGGCGAGAGACCGAUAGCGAA